CGGGGGAAUUAGAGAGAGGAGCCGCAGACGCAACAAACACCGGAGACGGCGCCUGUGACCAAAAGGGACGACACGGCGUGGUCUGGAAAAAAUGAUGAAGAUUUUAAGUAGUUUUUCCAUCAGCCUUUCCAUGCAUGGACCAUCUGAUAAUGUGAGAGACGCAGCUCCAUUAGAGCUGGACAAACAGGAGACUCUUUGAUUGCUUUGUCCCAUAAACAAUCUCUGAUUGUGCAGGAAAAGCAUUCCAACACAAUUGUUGUGCACAAAUGCUGCCAAAUGUCUGGUAGUUUAUCUAAAUCUGUAAUUGGUAAAUGAAUGGGACAGUUGUUCUCUGGUGUCAGUCUCAGUAAAUAGCAGUAGCAAGGAGAUUCAUUUUUUAAGAUGUGUACAUUUUUUCUCUGUGGCCUGUGGUGUGAACACACACAAGGCCUGCCAGGCAACCUCAGUCUUCAUUCAGGUCCACGCAGAGUUCAAGACGUCUGCCCAACCUUACUGAUGUGAUCUCUGUUUAGUAAAACCAUGAAAUACUUCCUAAAAGUGGAAUAUACACAAAUGUAAAUGGCAAAAGUGGAAUGAUACCAUAAAGUAUCUGCUUCUGCUGA
This is a non-coding RNA of Gasterosteus aculeatus aculeatus (three-spined stickleback), 602 nucleotides long. The record is from RefSeq and is a predicted model, not a curated record. NCBI's taxonomy places the organism in Eukaryota, Metazoa, Chordata, Actinopteri, Perciformes, Gasterosteidae.